GAUAAUGUUUCUUAGUGGCAGAGUGCUUGUCUAGCAUGCAACAGGCCCUGGGUUCAAUCCCUGGCAACAUCA
RNAcentral lists this transfer RNA (72 nucleotides) under Ictidomys tridecemlineatus (thirteen-lined ground squirrel). RNAcentral describes it as "Spermophilus tridecemlineatus (thirteen-lined ground squirrel) tRNA". It matches the Rfam family "tRNA". From Rfam's summary of the family: Transfer RNA (tRNA) molecules are approximately 80 nucleotides in length. The record is from Rfam by way of RNAcentral. Lineage: Eukaryota; Metazoa; Chordata; Mammalia; Rodentia; Sciuridae.